GCGCUCAGCGGCGGCGCUGUGCCUGCUGAAUCAACGGAACCGAGCCGCCGCCUGCUGUUUGCUGCUGCUGCUGCUGCUGCUGUCACCACAUCGUCCGCCCGGGCGGGUCUGUCAGCGCGCUUGAGUCGGUCUCCCUCAAACCCGUGCAAACCCCGUCACGGCCAAGACGCGGAGGACAAAACGGGGCGGGGCGGCAGCGGCGGAGAAUAAGAAGGGGCGGCUUUGACAGCUGCAGGACGGCCGGGCAGCUGCCGUGAUUGCUCCCAGGAGGGCCGUCGGGAGCCGUCCGGUCGUCUCGGAGCGGCUCCUCUUUUGGCGGGAACGUGCGAGGGGAUGCGCGGGACGGCGCCUUGGCAGGCGAUGGGGCGGGGAGGAAGAGCCGAGGCGCUCUUCGCCUCCCGGCCCCGCCCGGCAGGAACGCGAGGGACCUCUCCGAGCAAGUGGGGAGUCCGGCGAGCCAGAACGCCUCUCCAGAUUGCUGAGUAAAGAUGCGCUGUGCUGCAGAUCCUCCACCACCACCCCUUGUUUAUUCAGUCCCGGAUGUUGUGCUGCAGAAAACAGAGUCACAAGGCCCAGGUCUGAUUUCUCCCCAAUGUCAUUUGCUGCUCCUUUGCCGCUGAUUAGCUACAGCAAUAAUGUAAUUUAAUAGCACCUUAUAUUAAUGUCCACUGAUUAAUUUUUUUUCCUUCUGACUUUGCAAAAAGAGACACAGCAGUUUCUUGUAAUUGCAAUUAAUGUACUCUUUCUUCUAACACUGAGGCACUUACGGAGAAGAACAAAAGAAAUGGAACUCCAAAAUCUAAGGCAAAAGAUCCAGGCUUUCUUUGCGAAUAGUAUGACCUUUGGAAAUAAUCAUUUUGCAUUCAUUGAUACACCUUGUAAGAUAAAGCUUUUAUAAUUUUAUAUCUGUAUGAUUGUGGAAAUCCACCAUGAGUCAAAUGCAAGUCAUCACUAAAUGCCGAUACUACAUUAGCCUAUACUUUGCUAAAGCCUAACUUUUACACAGAUAAAAUAGGCCUAUGCUGUGCCAGUGUCACUCUUCAAUAGAUGCUAACAAUUGCCUUUUAUUCAAUUCUCUAAAUCACCCUAUUGUACGAAGUUUAUCCACUGCAGUUUUCAUCUGCAGAAUACCCAGUUGGGAUGCUGAGUGACAAAAUGGAUGCAGGAAAAUACUAUGCAAUACUACACACGUUGGCUCAUUUAUGCUACAAUUGUGUCAGUAUCUAUUGUCAAGCUAAGAGGACACAUGGUAUCAAUGUGACAGUGCUGUCACAGAGAAGGUUUUGCUGAACGAAAUGACUGGCACUGCUAAGCAAAUUGCUCAUUUAAAUCCAUUUCAAUUUGGCACACUUCUGAGGGAAUUAAAAUGGUCCAACUAGUUGGAAGGGAAACAAAUACAUGUAUUCUAAAAAAGCAAUGUUGAUAGUGUCACUGAGGAUGUGAGUGCAAGUUGCAAUUGACUAUGGAGGGAUGUAAGGAACAAGUUUCUGCUAAGGAUCUCUGUUGGGAUUAGUAAUUUUUCAUUUUUUCAGAAUUAUAGCUGAGCAGGGAAGUGGCCACACGUGGUGACAAAAAGAGAUUGCAAAGAGCAACAAGAGGAUCUCUCCAAAUGUGUAUAUGCCGUAUGGUAUUGUACCACUUUGAUU
This 1646-nucleotide long non-coding RNA is filed under the name Pogona vitticeps (central bearded dragon). RNAcentral's name for it is "lncRNA (ENSPVIG00000022292.1)". The record is from RNAcentral. Lineage: Eukaryota; Metazoa; Chordata; Lepidosauria; Squamata; Agamidae.